Molecule: long non-coding RNA, 1084 nt
Organism: Pocillopora damicornis (cauliflower coral)
Lineage: Eukaryota; Metazoa; Cnidaria; Anthozoa; Scleractinia; Pocilloporidae
Source: RefSeq, a predicted model, not a curated record
CGCGAAGAAAUCAGUAGCUGGAACUCAUCAACGGAAAAGACGAUCGAGGUUGUUCGACAGAUAAAAAGAUACUAACAAAACGCCAAUCGAAGCGUGAAAAUCUGGCUAUUUCUGUCAGGCUCCUGUUUCUGUCAACUCUGCCAGCUAAAACUUAGCUAAGAAGUCAACAAUUUUAUUCAGCCUUUACUGAAAGAAGUGGGAACAUAUUUAGAUCUGGAAUCCUAGUUUCUUUGCACACCGAGAAGGGGAUAAUUGUGAAGCUCUCCUUUCGUUCGAUAGAGCCGAGAUGGCUUGCAAGUGUUGUUAUAGCAACCUUAUUAUAUUCCCACGAUCCCGCGAAAACCUUAAAUCUUUUAACAAUACUCAUGAACCAACAGUAAUUGUCCAACUGUCACGAACAGGAGCUGUAGGAACAAAGGCAGGCUUCUAUACUUCUAAAUGUCUUGGAGGAGUUGAUUAUCUAUAAUAUGUCUCGUCUGUCAAGUGUCGGUUUUUGAUGCCGGGUAAGAAUCAAAGAUCGGGAGAGGCAUCUUGGCAGGGAAUUGUGUUAAAUUAUCAGUUUUUGGUAUCUGGCCAAACUUCAAGUUAAUGAUCUCGCCGAGUCUAAAUGCGUCGUUGUAAACAAAUAUUGCGUUGGCAAACUCAAUAUGGCAAGGUUAAAGGUCACUCAUAACAUUAGUACACAAAGGAAAGCAUUUGGGAUCCCACACGGACAGCAACACUGAGGAGAAAAACUUAAAUGACUCAACGAGAACCAACUUUCUUCCAUUCGUUUCCUUUUUGCGACGGAAACUGAUAGAUUACGCAAAGCAAGGAGCUUAAAAAAACAAGCUGUGUUAACGUCCCUGGCAGCUUACAGUAUUUUGUUGAGAGCAAACGCGUGAUAAGCACUUCUCAAAGAAAACUUAUAUCACAUCUGAUAUACGGAUCCAGACAAACCUGCUUACUAACCUACCAAACAGGCCUCUUCACCGAUACUAAGUCCUCAUCUAACAAAAAAAGAAUUGUUGUUAUUUUUGGCCAGGAAAAUAUUGAAUUAUGUACGGCUGUUACAUUCAAAGUAAAGUGAAUUUCGAAAUCUUCA